Paramacrobiotus metropolitanus is the source of this 640-nucleotide long non-coding RNA. RefSeq lists it as uncharacterized. The transcript is spliced from 2 exons. Lineage: Eukaryota; Metazoa; Tardigrada; Eutardigrada; Parachela; Macrobiotidae. The record is from RefSeq and is a predicted model, not a curated record.
AGCUGGUAAAGUAACAUUUUUUGUUAACCGAAAAUUAAAUUUCAUCAAAAUCAGGUUGCCGUCGCAUUGUACGUAUAUAUUUCUUAAUGGGUUGAACUUUGCAAGAAGAACACUUUUAAAAAUUUCUAUGUACAUUUGAGCCAGUCUUUGGAAUCAAGGUGAAAAUGGCUGCGGUUUAUCAUUCUAAAACUAUUGCUUGGAGGUUGGUGAUCUUUCUUAGCGUUUUUCUUGUACUUUUGUUUGCCUUGAUGGGAACUGCCGCAAAUGCCUCGGGAACAUUUCAAAUAUUUUAUUCCACCGACGAAAAGGAUACAUCGAUGACUGCUAAAAGGAAUUCUAACAAACCUUCUCACCAGACUAUUUUCUGCCGACACAAUCCCAGGCUAUGCAAUACUGGCCACACUCCUUCCAGCGGCGAUGGCGGAUUCUGUCCAUGCACCGUACAAACAGUAUUUUGCUGCUCCUGGGGACGGUAGAAAAUCUAAAGAACUAUCUUGAGCAUUUGCCCAUUAUACAUUAAUACGAGUAUGGCUGGCUGUGAUCCCUUUAUCAUUUCGAGCUGUAUCAAUCAGUAUCAAUGUAUCAAUGUAUCAGUAUCAAUGUAUCAAAACUGACUAUAACUAUUAAAAUUGAUACCCGA